GAUCAUGGCUCAGAUUGAACGCUGGCGGAAUGCUUUACACAUGCAAGUCGAACGGUAGAGGGGGCAACCCUUGAGAGUGGCGAACGGGUGAGUAAUAUAUCGGAACGUGCCCAGUCGUGGGGGAUAACGUAGCGAAAGUUACGCUAAUACCGCAUACGAUCUAAGGAUGAAAGCGGGGGAUCGCAAGACCUCGCGCGAUUGGAGCGGCCGAUAUCAGAUUAGGUAGUUGGUGAGGUAAAGGCUCACCAAGCCAACGAUCUGUAGCUGGUCUGAGAGGACGACCAGCCACACUGGAACUGAGACACGGUCCAGACUCCUACGGGAGGCAGCAGUGGGGAAUUUUGGACAAUGGACGCAAGUCUGAUCCAGCCAUUCCGCGUGCAGGAUGAAGGCCCUCGGGUUGUAAACUGCUUUUGUACGGAACGAAAAGGUUUGUCUUAAUACGAUGAGCUCAUGACGGUACCGUAAGAAUAAGCACCGGCUAACUACGUG
RNAcentral lists this ribosomal RNA (492 nucleotides) under uncultured bacterium. RNAcentral describes it as "bacterial SSU rRNA". It matches the Rfam family "Bacterial small subunit ribosomal RNA", at positions 15 to 507 of the family's 1533-position model. The record is from RNAcentral.